UGGAAGGAAUAAUUAAAACUAAACUAGUAAAGUAGAACAACAUUUAAGAUGCCGUUCGGUACAUAUAAUAACAUCACUUGAAACUAAUAAUAUUUCCAAAACCCGAAUCUCAUAAAUCACAAGCUAAGGGAUACAUAAGAGGCCCUAACUCAAGCAUGUCUAAACAAAGAAAAAUACUAAAAGGGUUAUACUUUUUUCAGAAAGCUGGAAAGGGACUCCUCGGUCUGCGGACGUAGCAGAUAUACCUCGAAGUCUCUAUAGAAAAUGCCUCCUUCCACCAGAACUGAGUGAGAGUACCUGUAUCUGCACAAUAAAAAUAUGCAGAAGAGUAGUAUGAGCACACCACAAAGGUACUCAAUAAGUAUCAAAACUAACCUCUGUGAAGUAGUGACGAGGAAUAGUCAAGACACUUACCAGUCAAAUAAACAGUAUAAUUAUAGGAACAACGGAACAUAAUAUAUAAAUGUAUUUAGACUGUAUGAAAAGAUAAACAAUGCUACAACCACAAUAAGAGAAGAAACAACAGGUAACACGAGAAUAUAAAGAAUGAUGCCACAUAACCACUUGAAAAUACAAUCCAAACCCGAAGAUCACAAUACAGAAAGGAAACACAACAAUAACGAGUCCUACGGUAGUGUCACAUCAGGUUGCAUUUAACAAUUUUCACAAAUCCUCCAAAUCUUGGUCAAAUCACAAUUCACGAGUCCCGGCAUCCGAAAUCUACACUUGGUAUCCUGUGCCUCCAUCAACCAUACGAUCAUACUGGCAACUAACUAGCUAACGAGGGUCAUUCUCACAUAUAAAAAUGAUUAAACAAAGACAUGCCUCUACACUUAGAAAAUCAGGGGAACUUUACCCUCAAUAGGAGUUUCAACUACGUGUAUGCUUGUGCGAGUGCUUUAACAAAAUUUCUACCAGCUAAUAAAGAUAAGAAAAAGAGCCGACAACGCGCACGAUGUUUCCUCACCACAUCCAUAUAAUAAAGCUCAUACAGGAAAGCAACCACAAUCAAAAUAUUAAACGAAAAUAGAAAUGCCUCCGCAGGCCGUAACAAUCCUUACAAUCAAUCCCUGACAUAGCCCUUCUUAUUUUGCCGCGUGUGGAAUUAAUAACAUAAAAAAUACCGUCUUAUUUCGCCACACGUUCAUCAUAAUGUUCCUACCUUAUUUCGUCACAUGCGCAACCCACAUAUAAUCAUAUAAACGAUUCCUGCAUUAUUACAUCGCACAUGCAAUUUAUCAAUAGCAACAGUAGCUCGUCAAAGAUCUCGUGCAACCCCUUAAUCAAAAUCGCACGGUAGAAACAUCGUGCAUCAUAGUAUCAAUAACCGCAGGGCAGAAACUUCGUGCAUCAUCAUAUCCAUAACCGCACGACAAAAACCUCGUGCAUCACACUAUCCAUAACCGCAAGGCAGAAACAUCGUGCAUCACAAUAUCCAUAACCACACGAUAGAAACCUCGUGCAUCAACAAUAUCAAGUAUAAUACCAACAAAUACAAUAUACAUACAAGAGCACAACAAGUGAAUUAACUCAAGAAUAUUUCGUUCACUGGGGUUAUAAGACUAGCUCACAUGGAAUAACCACAAUAGAAAAUACUAAACGUAAUAAGAACAACUUAACAAGGGAGAAAGGUAAUAUGAAGCGACGACCCCAUAGCAUGUAGUUCAACAACAAGGAAGUUAACAAGAUUCAAGUAAUUUCAAAUAAGGCAAUAUAGAUUACACAUGGAAUAUCUACUCUUCUUUUGAGAUUGGGCAGGUUACGAAGAAUAUACGACAAUUUCAAUUAAAACUAAAUAAUUACCUAAUUGAUAAUAAUGAUUUCCAAUAAAACAAGAAGUUAUGAAAGAUAAUGUGACGAUAGAGGAGGUAACGAUAUUCAGUUAAGUAAGAUAAGGAUCAAUUAGGCAAUAAGAAUGAACCACAAGGCAAUUAAUUCCAAAUAAAAUUAAUAUCAAGAACAACUUCAUACUCAGUGUAUAUAAGGACCUAAGAACCUAGAAAAGCAAAGUGACAACCCCAUAGCAUGUAGUUCAACAACAAGGGAGUUAACGAGAGUAUAGAAAUUUCAAAUAAGUGAAUAUCAAUUACACAUGGAAUAUCUACUCUUCUUUUGUGAUUGAGCAGGUUACGAAGGAUAUACAACAAUUUCAGUUAUGACUAAAUAAUUACCUGAGAGUAAUAAUGAUUUCCAACAAAACAAGAAGUUAUGAAAGAUAACGUGACAAUGGAAGAGGUAAAGAUCUUCCGUUAAGUAAGCUAAGAAUCAAUUAGGCAAUAAGAAUGAACCACAAGGCAAUUAAUUCCAAAUAAAACAUGUAGAAGUGGAACUAGCAAAAGAAAAAUUCAAUCAUAUCAAGAACAACUUAUACUCAGUGCACAUAAGGACCUAAGAACCUAGAAAGGCCAAUUUCCCACAAAUAAAUCCGAGCAUGCACUCAUCACCUCACAUACACGGAUACAAUCAGCAGAGAAGAGUCAAAUCCUAAGGGGAAGUCCCACACACAAGGUUAGGCAAGACACUUACCUCGUACCAACUCAAAUCAACUAGAAACCACAUUCUUGUCAUGAGUAUUUGUAUCCAAAUGGCCCAAAUCUAUUCAAUUCAACUACAUAUUGUAAAUAACAUCUCAAGCAACUAAUUCUACUAUUUAAUUCAAAGCUAAGGCGCAAAAUUAGAUAAAAUGACCAAAUCGCACUUCAAGACGUCUCAGAAUCAGAUGAAAUUAACAUUUUCAGAACCCUAGCACUCUCACAAGUCCAACAAUAUAAAAAUCGCUCAAAUGGGAGGUCAAAAACCCACUCAAAAUUAAAUAAUUUGAAUUAUGAAGUUUUCGCCAAAUUUUCCUUCAAAAUCCAAAAAUUAAAGGAGGAAUUCAUGUUUAGAUUAGUGAGUUACAUGCAAAAAGGAGUUUAGAAUCAUUAUCUAAUCGUUGUCCCUGAAAAAACUCUCGAAAUCUCCCUAAAAUCCGAGCUCCCGAGCUUGAGUUUUGGUAAAAAUGACUAUACCCUCGUUUUGAAAUGUUUGUAUCUGUCCAAACAUUUAAUGCAUCGCGAAUACAAAGGGAGUCACGCGUUCGCGAAGAAGGAAAAUUGAAGGCUACCAAAUUGCUCUUCGCAAACGCAAGGAACAAUACGCAAACGUGAAGGCAUGGGCUGGCAAAGCUACGCAAACAUGACCUAGGUAGUGCGAACGCGAUGAAAAAAAGAAUAAGCACAACCCUCAUGGCCAAAUAGAACUACGCGAACGUGAGGGCUGGCUGCGAACGCGAAGGAGAAAAAUGAUGAAGCUUCGCGAACGUGGGAGGGUUAAACGCGAACGUCAAGAAGAAACUAAUCCUCCUCCAAAAUUAUGCGAACGAGUGGAGGAGGACACGAUCGCGAAGAAGAAAAGGGGGUCUGCAACAGUUGAAGAUUUUCUGCAAUUUUAAGCAACUCCAAAAUGCCUCGUUGAGCAUCCGAAACAUACCCGAGGCCCCUGGGGCCUUAACCAAAACUACAGACAUAUCCCAUAACAUUAUUCAAACUUGUGCCAAUCCUUAAACCACCUAAAACAAUGUCGGAAACUCGAAUUAAUCAAUUAUUUAAGCCUAAGAACUUCAAAUUCUCUCAAACCACGCUUUCGAUAAAAAGCCUAACUCAACUACAUGCGCAUGACCUGAAAUUUUUCACACUCGUCCAAAUGACAUGACGGAGCUACUGCAAUUUCAAAAUUCCAUUCCGACCCUCGGAUCAAAAUCUCACUGCCGGACCGGAAACUUCAAAAAUUCAAAUUUCGGCAUAUCAAGCCUAAAUUAGCUACGUACCUCCAAGACAUACAAAUCCAACCCCAAAAUUACCUAACGGAGCUAAUGGCACCACCAGAUUUCCAUGUUGAGGCCAUCUUCACACUGUUCCGACCACGGGCAACUUCCAACACUUAAGCUCCUGUUUAGGGACUAAGUGUCCAAAAACUCUCUGAAACUCAGAACCGAACAUCCCGGCAAAUCAACUUAGAGAAAUAGUGAUGGGGAAAGCAGUUACUAAGGGAUCCAGGCGUAAACUCUUAAGAUGACCGGCCGGGUUGUCACAUCCUCCUACACAUUUAUUCGUCCUCGAACGAGCUAAGAUUUGCCUCGAAGUCCUCAAGUCUCUGAGUGCACACUUCCAACAUACACCCACGGGUGAUCACACGUCACCCCAAUCCACUUAAGUAUGACGACACCAUCUCUACUGAAACUUAACUUUCUAGCAAUACCAAUGAGCCUUUCAGCCAGAAUUCUCGCUUUCCAUCCGUUUCUAAAAGACCCGAUUCUAAAUCCAUGUCUGGUAUUAGUCUCAACGAGCUGCUUCAAUUCAUGCCCCUACACACAAGAUACAACCACACAACCUGACACAUCACACAUAGCCAACAAUAACAUUUCUGAUAGCAAUAUUUGCCUGAGAUCAAAUCCAUAUUGGUCAUAAGCCUCACAUUCAAUAUGAACUCUUUUCAAACCUCCAGGAGAUGAUACAGUAAUCACGAAAACCACAAAACAAAACACCCGAAUAACCAAAUCUCAGCUAAUAUAAAUAGGCACGCACCCCCACAUACUAGAACUCAAGAAGUAUGCAAUGAAAAUAGAUGAAUAUGGGAAGGGAAAACACAUAAGGGAACUACAAAUAACUCAGACUAGCACAAAUUUUCUAAAUCACUAAUAUACAGAACAUUCUAACAAGAAAGAAUAAAAACAUAUAAAAGACUCACAAGGAUCUUAUACUGAUAUAACCCUCACCGUGGUACAUAGCUCGGUCUCAACACAUUAAAUCACCUGAACUCACGAGGAUCCCACCCUCACUCUGAAUCACAAGUACGGUACACAUCAACCCAUCUAGAGACUCUCACUAGAUCAAUUCCGUCUACAAUUUACAAUACAGACUGGCUCCUACAUUGGUGGAGCAUUGAAUCACAGCUCGUAACCAAGAAUACUCAAAAAUCACAUCAAACCUACCGAAACAGACAAAGAAUUCACUACUAACCUCAUAACGCUCGACAAUAGCUAGAAACAGAUGAUAGACACAACUAUCACUUAUAGAAUCUCCCAACAGGAUAAUCAUAUAAUCAAAGUGCAAAUCAUGAAACGCACCCAUAAAUGGAACAACAAAUAAGGAAGCUCCAUCCAAUAAGCAGGACUGUAAUGAACUACAUAUAGUGCCCCUCAAUAAUAAACCGAAUUCGUACCUGAUACGCGAACGCAAACACGACCCAAGUAGUGCGAACACGAUGAAGAAAAGAAUAAGCACAGCCCUCAAAGCCAAACAGAACUACGCGAACACAUGGUCUAGUGCGAAAGCAAACGAGGAAAAUGAUGAAGCUUCGCAAACGCGGGAGGGUUGAACGCGAAUGCGAAGAAGAAACUGGACCUCCUCCAAAAUUACUCUAUGUGAACAUGUGAAUGAGGACGCGAUCACCAAGAAGAAAAGGGGUCUGCAACAGCUGAAGAACUUCUACAAUUUUAAGCAACUCCAAAAUGCCCCCUUGAGCAUCCGAAACACACCUGAGGCCCCCGGGACCUCAACCAAACCUACAGAUAUAUCCCAUAACAUCAUUCAAACUUGUACCAAUCCUUAAACCACCUAAAUCAACGUCGAAAACUCGAAUUAAUCAAUGAAUUAAGCCUAAGAACUUCAAAUUCUCUCAAAAUACGCUUUCGAUCAAAAAUCUAAUAGAACCACAUCUGAGUGACAUGAAAUUUUACACACACGUCCCAAAUGACAUGAUGGAGCCGUUGCAACUUCCGAAAUUCCAUUCUAACCCUCAGAUCAAAAUCUCACUGUCGGACUGGAAACUUCAAAAAUUCAAAUUUCGGCAUUUCAAUCCUAAAUUAGCUAUGGACCUCUAAAAUAUAUUCCGAACACACAUCCAACCUCGAAAUCACCUAACGAGCUAAUGGAACCAUCAGAUUUCCAUUCCGAGGUCGUCUUUACAUUGUUCCAACUACGGAAAACUUCCAACACUCAAGCUCUCAUUUAGGGACUAAGUGUCCUAAAACUCUCCAAAACUCAAAACCGAACAUCCCGGAAAAUCAAUUUAGCAGAAAUAGACUUGGGGACAACAAUGAAUCGGGGAUCAGGGCGUAUACUCUUAAGACGACCGGCUGGAUCGUCACAAUUAGUUUCAUCCAAUUGUUCAAAUUACACACUAUUAGGCAAUAAAUCUAAUUGUUAGUAUAAUUUAAAAGAUUUUCCUGACAAGCAAGAUUACUAAGUCCUAAUAUUCCCUCUCUAUGAGUAACAAUAAUGACUUAGAUACAAAGUUCCUGCACAUGAAAUAAUCGAUGAAGAGCUUGUAAGAUGAAAGUAGUUCUUCAAUAUUAUUGAUGAGAAGCGUAUAAAAUAACCUUCUUUCCUUUCCUGAGCAUUGGUGUUAAGUGUGUUGAAGCUAGGAUUACAGAUAAUCCUGUAGUUGCUAGGCACAUUAAAACUAGAUAGGACAAGAUAGUAACCGACGGAAGAAGGAAAAGGCUGGGCAGGUGUUUGCCAAUGUAGGCAGAACUUGUGAAUUCCAUUAGAAGUAGGUGCACAAUCUGCUGCACAUUGUAAUACGAAUGCUAAUGAUGUUUUGAUGGUUGAGGAUCAGUUAAUAAGUGCCAACAUUGAGAAGGAUUCAAAAAAUAAGAAAGGGCAACUUGUGGUAAUUGAGGAUGAGUGCAAAGUAUCCACGAACUCUAUUGCACCUGCUACUGUUAAUCUUACGACAAUUGGAGCUAAGAUUCUGGAAAGCAUAAAUCUUUUGCAAGUUCUUCCUGGGUUUUUGCCUAAUCCAAUGGAAGGACGGUCCUUUCAAGAGGUGAAGGAAAACAAUGACAUGGUAGGGGUUGGUCUGAAUACAUCCCAACAUGAUAUCCCCUCCACUGAUUUGUUUGAUCGAUCUGGAAACAUGUUACAAGUCUCAAACAACCAACAAAUUUUAUCCAUGGUGUUGUCGGCAACAGAACAACCAAAAGGAGGGGCUGACCACACAAGAGAAUAACAUGAAGACACGAUGAGUGAAGACAUAAGUGGUGAACUUGUCCAUAAUUUAAACGAGCUACAGAAGCCAGUUAGCUCUAAGCACAAGACAUGGGCUGAUCAUGUAGAAGAGUAUGACGAAGGUGAAGAAAAUUAUGUCAGUGACUCCAAGAGAUAAACACUUAAGAAACUGGUUCGUCAACACGACAAGGUGGUAUAGCAAAGGAAGGAGCAGUAGUUGUGGUUGAGCAGGUUGUGAGUCCAUCUCCUAGUGUGCAAAGAAAGACUAAGCUAAGUCCUAAUGCUGCUGUUUUUGUUCCUACUGGACAACAACUAUCAGGUAUGAUUUCUAAGCUUAAUUUGAUCCAAAAAUCCACUGGACAAGUAACUAUUACAAGUGGAAUGGCUGCACAAUAUAACUUGACGCCUAAAAACAUUCUCCAAGCUAUUGUAACUCAUGAUCCUCUACAUGAGGCUGCUAUCUAACCUCCUACCAACUCCAUUUAAGUUCAUAUAAUGAACCUGCUGUGAAAUUUCUACUACCAUAGUGAGAGGUAAGACUACUAAAGAAUCAUCAUAGCUAUGUAUCUUUGCGGGAAAACUUAAUAUUGGACAAGAUUGUACAUUAAUUUCUUCCUGAUAUUUGAUGAAAAAAUAUUACCAAUCUAACUAUGAGCGGAGAUGGAAAAACAAACUCAAGGUUAUAAGUCAACAAAUUAUCAAAUGUCCUGAAGUUAUUGUCUUGAAACAACAUGAGGUAGAAGGCCGUGUGAUAGCAUCUCUCUCCACCACAGUGAAGACAAGUUCUUUGUUGUAGUGUGAAUACCAGAACAAGCUAUAUCCACAUAACUCUGUAAAGAUGACUGCAAAGAAGGACAAAUUAUCGUAUAGUUGACAACUUUACAUAAAUUAUAUUAAUUACUUUCAAAACCAAACACCCAUUAAUUAAUAAAUCUAGUAAGAAUUGCACGAUUAAACAUGAAGCACUAUAAUAUUCUUUUGGGGUAUAGCAAGAAAAGUUAAUACAAUCCAUAGAAAUGUUAAGCAAAAGCUAGACUUUGAAGAAUUAGCCAAUAAAUCAUUUGGAUUACCUAGGAACAACAAAGGUCCAUGGGGAGAUAGGCUAAUCUUCAGUAUUUCUAUCUUCUAAAAACUUAACCUCGACACCUCUAACAUCACAUUUAUCCUUCAUGGCAAGAACAAAAUUAUCAAUUUGAUAUAUUAUCUUAAUCAAUUCCUCCUCUUUCCGCCAAUACAAGUACCCCCCCAAUGCCUUUCUCUACUAACAAAACAAACUGCAACAACAAAACAACAAUAACCCACAAAUAAAAAAUAAAUAAAUACCCAAAAACUACGAAAAUUCGUACUUAUGCUACCAAGAAAAGAACCAAAUUUUUAUAAUUAACAAAAAAUUGCUACUUAAUUUUGCUAGAGAAAGAGAUAGUGAGAGACUAGAUGCUGUCAAGAUUAACUACUCUAUUUUUCUGAGGUCGAGAGAAGUUCAGCGUCGGAUUGAAAACCUGGAACACCCGACUCCUCACCACAGACUAUUACUAUAUGAAUUUCUUUUAUUCCUAUAGAUUUUCAAGUGGGUCAGAGAAAUAUAGAUGAAAUCUCUAAAAUCAUUGAAAUUAUCAUUCUCGCUAACUGUAUAUACCAUCGAAAAGGGAUUUGAGCUCAAGAUUGGAGCACGUACCUGAUGGAGUCAAGAUUUUUGAUUACGUCUUUUGUUUUGCUAUCAGAUGGAUCACGAUUUGUGAUUUGAGCGGUCAAAAUUGUGAGAUAUGAGCAGAGAGGAAAUUGAGUGGGUAAAUUUUCUAUAGAGAGACGAGUAAGGAGAAGAAGACCUACAUCAGUCUAUGCUUCUUUUUUCAUUUAAUAAGAGUGGUUUUUCUUAUAAAAAUAUUUAGUAGUGCUAGAGGUGACCGAGUCGCUACAAAAGACCUACAACGGUGACUUUAUAAAAGUCGC
Molecule: long non-coding RNA, 8939 nt
Filed under: Nicotiana benthamiana
Lineage: Eukaryota; Viridiplantae; Streptophyta; Magnoliopsida; Solanales; Solanaceae
Description: long non-coding RNA (NBEN_LNC003284)
Source: RNAcentral